Molecule: ribosomal RNA, 454 nt
Filed under: uncultured bacterium
Lineage: Bacteria
Description: partial 16S ribosomal RNA
Rfam family: Bacterial small subunit ribosomal RNA
Source: RNAcentral
AACGAACGCUGGUGGUAUGCUUAACACAUGCAAGUCGAACGGGCAUAGUAAUAGGUCAGUGGCAAACGGGUGCGGAAUAUAUAGGCAUCUACAUAGCAGAAAGGAAUAACUUUAGGAAACCAAAGCUAAUGCCAUAUAUUACCGACUUCACGGGAAAGAUUUAUCGCUGUUAGAUGAGCUGGUAUCGGAUUAGCUAGUUGGUAGGGUAAUGGCCUACCAAGGCAAAGCUCCGUAGCUGGUAUGAGAGGAUGAUCAGCCACAUUGGGACGGGGACACGGCCCAAACUCCUACGGGAGGCAGCAGUGGGGAAUAUUGGACAAUGGACGAAAGUGUGAUCCAGCAAUACCACGUGAGUGAUGAAGGCCUUCGGGUUGUAAAACUCUUUUAGUAGGGAAGAUAAUGACGGUACCUACAGAAAAAGCACCGGCUAACUUCGUGCCAGCAGCCGCCGUAA